This 20-nucleotide microRNA is filed under the name Gallus gallus (chicken). RNAcentral describes it as "gga-miR-1811". Lineage: Eukaryota; Metazoa; Chordata; Aves; Galliformes; Phasianidae. The record is from miRBase by way of RNAcentral.
UAUUGCAGCGCUGGGUGCAU